GACGAACCGUGCAAACGUUGUUCGGAAUCACUGGGCUUAAAGGGCGCGUAGGCGGCUUGCCAAGUCAGGGGUGAAAUCUUUCGGCUCAACCGGAAAAGUGCCUCUGAUACUGGCAGGCUAGAGCGAGGUAGGGGCAUGUGGAACUUCCGGUGGAGCGGUGAAAUGCGUUGAUAUCGGAAGGAACGCCGGUGGCGAAAGCGACGUGCUGGACCUCUUCUGACGCUGAGGCGCGAAAGCUAGGGGAGCGAACGGG
RNAcentral lists this ribosomal RNA (253 nucleotides) under uncultured bacterium. Its description in RNAcentral is "partial 16S ribosomal RNA". It matches the Rfam family "Bacterial small subunit ribosomal RNA", at positions 524 to 776 of the family's 1533-position model. The record is from RNAcentral.